Molecule: ribosomal RNA, 460 nt
Filed under: uncultured bacterium
Lineage: Bacteria
Description: partial 16S ribosomal RNA
Rfam family: Bacterial small subunit ribosomal RNA
Source: RNAcentral
CCUACGGGUGGCAGCAGUGAGGAAUAUUGGUCAAUGGGCGCGAGCCUGAACCAGCCAAGUCGCGUGAGGGAAGACGGCCCUACGGGUUGUAAACCUCUUUUGCCGGGGAGCAACGGGCGCCACGUGUGGCGCCACUGAGAGUACCCGGAGAAAAAGCAUCGGCUAACUCCGUGCCAGCAGCCGCGGUAAGACGGAGGAUGCGAGCGUUAUACGGAUUUAUUGGGUUUAAAGGGUGCGUAGGCGGGGCGUUAAGUCAGUGGUAAAAUUGAGGGGCUCAACCCCUUCCCGCCAUUGAAACUGGCGCUCUUGAGUGGAAGAGAGGUAGGCGGAAUGCGUGGUGUAGCGGUGAAAUGCAUAGAUAUCACGCAGAACCCCGAUGGCGAAGGCAGCAUGCCGGCUUCCGACUGACGCUGAAGCACGAAAGCGUGGGGAUCGAACAGGAUUAGAUACCCGGGUAGUC